RNAcentral lists this ribosomal RNA (253 nucleotides) under uncultured bacterium. Its description in RNAcentral is "partial 16S ribosomal RNA". It matches the Rfam family "Bacterial small subunit ribosomal RNA", at positions 524 to 776 of the family's 1533-position model. The record is from RNAcentral.
UACGUAGGGUGCGAGCGUUGUCCGGAAUUAUUGGGCGUAAAGGGCUCGUAGGCGGUCUGUUGCGUCAGGAGUGAAAACUCGGGGCUUAACCCCGAGCCUGCUUCUGAUACGGGCAGACUAGAGGUAUGCAGGGGAGAACGGAAUUCCUGGUGUAGCGGUGAAAUGCGCAGAUAUCAGGAAGAACACCAAUGGCGAAAGCAGCUUUCUGGGACGGUACUGACGCUGAGACGCGAAAGCGUGGGGAGCGAACAGG